AUAAUAACUCGGCCUGUAGCGCCUCCGGGGGCUACUGCCGGUCCCAAGCCCGGGUAAAGGAAGAGGGUUGG
RNAcentral lists this non-coding RNA (71 nucleotides) under Schistosoma mansoni. The record is from RNAcentral. Lineage: Eukaryota; Metazoa; Platyhelminthes; Trematoda; Strigeidida; Schistosomatidae.